UACGGAGGGUGCAAGCGUUGCUCGGAAUUAUUGGGCGUAAAGGGUAGGUAGGUGGUCUCAUUUGUCUGGGGGGAAAGCCUUGAGCUUAACUCAAGAAGUGCCCCAGAAACGGUGAGACUGGAGUCCUGGAGAGGGUCGUGGAAUUCCCGGUGUAGCGGUGAAAUGCGUAGAGAUCGGGAGGAACACCAGAGGCGAAGGCGGCGACCUGGACAGGUACUGACACUCAACUACGAAAGCGUGGGGAGCAAACAGG
RNAcentral lists this ribosomal RNA (253 nucleotides) under uncultured bacterium. Its description in RNAcentral is "partial 16S ribosomal RNA". It matches the Rfam family "Bacterial small subunit ribosomal RNA", at positions 524 to 776 of the family's 1533-position model. The record is from RNAcentral.